Rosa chinensis is the source of this 981-nucleotide RNA transcript. It is a transcript of the gene named T-complex protein 1 subunit gamma-like, with no coding region annotated. The transcript has 5 exons. Lineage: Eukaryota; Viridiplantae; Streptophyta; Magnoliopsida; Rosales; Rosaceae. The record is from RefSeq and is a predicted model, not a curated record.
UGGGUGAACUAGAAUUACAGAUUCAAGAUGAGGAGACAAAUGGUUACUCGGCACAAUAUUCGUCAACUGGUUUUACUGAUAUGGGGAACACAGGUAAUGAAGCAAUAUUAUCUACCUUCAGCACGAGAACUAUCAAGAUUGGAGUACGCAAAGCUCCUGUGAUACAACAUUGUGUAGAAACAAUUUCAGGAUCAACUACUAUUAGGAGCUUUGACCAGCAUACUGGUUGUUUAUAUAUGUGCUUCCUCAUAUAUAUGCUCAACUCCUUAUAAGUUUUAGCCGGCUUUACUCCUUCGGCUUGAAUUUCUUCAAGAUAUAGAUAUUGAAGUUCAAACCAGAUGUUGUGAUUACAGAAAAGGGGCUCAGUGACCUGGCAUGCCAUUAUCUGAGCAAGGCCGGUGUUACUGCAAUUAGGAGGUUGAGAAAAACAGAUAAUAACAGAAUUGCCAAGGCUUGUGGGGCAGUUAUUGUCAACAGACCCGAUGAACUGCAAGAAUCUGAUAUUGGUACUGGGGCUGGAUUAUUUGAGGUUAAAAAAAUUGGAGAUGAGUUCUUUACAUUCAUCGUUGAUUGCAAAGAUCCCAAGGCAUGUACAGUACUCUUAAGAGGUCCGAGUAAGGAUAUGUUAAACGAAGUGGAAAGAAAUUUACAGGAUGCCAUGGUAGUAGCAAGAAAUAUCCUGAAGAAUCCAAAACUUGUUCCUGGUGGUGGUGCUGCAGAGUUAACUGUUUCUGCUACACUGAAGCAAAAGAAUCCAAAACUUGUUCCUCGUGAGAGGCCAAAUGCCAAGUCUCUUGUGACUGCCCUUGUUCUUCUUCAAAAGGAAACUUCGUUGAAGCGUAAAGAUAUUAUAUCAGCUUUUGUUUCAUGUAUAGGUAGUUAGGAAUGAUUUCUUGUUUGGUACAUUAUCUAUCUUGAAUGUAUGGAUGUUUGAAAAAUGGUGAUUGAAUGAUAUGGAUUAGAGUACUGUUUAUGUGUUAA